CUGGAUUUGAACCUAAGCCCUCUGACAUCAAAUCCAAUACGUUUUCUCUUGUAACAUUGCUGGUUUGGAGAUAAGGCAACGAAAUGAAGAAACUGAGACUCUAACCCUGACUCCAAAUGCACACUUGGGCACUUGAGCUCAAGUUUUGAAAUUCCAAGUCCAGUGUUCCUUCUACUAUAUAUGAUGUUGCCUCUCCAGAUAACAGAAACUGUGUUGGAUGUCCAGAAGAUUAAUUAUGCAUCAUGUUACUAAGCAAAAGGCUAAGCAUAUAACUACAAAUUAAAGCUUUCCUUCCUGAAGUGA
Molecule: non-coding RNA, 303 nt
Organism: Phascolarctos cinereus (koala)
Lineage: Eukaryota; Metazoa; Chordata; Mammalia; Diprotodontia; Phascolarctidae
Source: RefSeq, a predicted model, not a curated record